Molecule: non-coding RNA, 1287 nt
Organism: Camellia sinensis
Lineage: Eukaryota; Viridiplantae; Streptophyta; Magnoliopsida; Ericales; Theaceae
Source: RefSeq, a predicted model, not a curated record
UUUUCCCGUAUUUUUUCAAAAUUUGAAUUCAAUCGAACGAUCCAAGCUAGAGAUUCCAACUCUAGGUAUUGCGUUCCCGGCAAUGAUUGGAUUUCAAUAUGUUGAUCAUAAAUGCGAAUCGGUGAGAAUUGGAGCUCCGAUCUAGACACUAAGGUAAAAUACCAAGGGUUCGAGAUAUGGAUGUUGAUUCGUCAAUGGCGUCAGAGACCGAUCACGAUCCAACAGGCCCCAACAACAACGGCCCGACGUCCGAACAGGUCGAGCAGGCUCCGGCGGCCGUGACUUCUGGAUCUCCGGCGGAGCCACCGCCACCUCCGCCGCCGGCUCAGGCGCAUCAGAGCCCCGUGGCCGGGCCGAGGACUGCUCCGACGUACUCUGUGGUGAACGCAAUCUUAGAGAAGAAGGAAGAUGGGCCGGGGCCGAGAUGCGGGCACACCUUAACGGCUGUGGCUGCAGUUGGGGAGGAAGGGACGACGGGUUACAUUGGACGGAGGCUGAUUCUUUUUGGAGGAGCCACUGCUCUUGAGGGCAAUUCUGCAGCUCCAGGGACUCCAUCUUCGGCUGGAAGUGCUGGAAUAAGAUUACACCCUUUGGAGAACCUCCCACUCCAAGGGCAGCACAUGUGGCAACUGCUGUGGGUACUAUGGUAGUUAUUCAGGGUGGAAUUGGUCUAGCUGGUUUGUCUGCUGAGGACCUCCAUGUUCUUGAUCUCACACAACAACGACCACGAUGGCAUAGGGUUGUGGUCCAAGGUCCUGGACCAGGGCCACGUUAUGGGCAUGUUAUAGCUCUGGUGGCGCAAAGAUAUCUGAUGGCAAUCGGUGGGAAUGAUGGUGAGUCGCUUGAUAUCUGCUUUAUUUUGUGUGCUCGAGUAUGUUUUCCAUUUUCUGGUGUUAAGCAAUAAUUUGAUGUAUGAUUCCAGAAAAGGGUCCUUUGCCAAGCCAUAUGAAUCUUAUAUUUGUCAAUGCAUUAGUUUUUUGUGGGUGUAGGACAAAUUUUUAAUUUGGGGUUCAGUAAGGUAGAAGGGUGGUGGUUGGUUAAGGUAGAAGGGAGAUGGUUAUCUGAAUUGAAGGGGCUUCAAUAGAUUGGUUUCAAAUGCUGGUUGCUGGAUUUUUAGAAAUCUUAUUAGGAAUUGAUGGGCUAGGGUUUCGGGGCGGCAUAGGUCUGAAUAGGUCUGCUUUGGAGGCUCUAAAAUGCUUUGUAAAUGAUUUAGAAAGAAGUUGAAUAUUAGGAGGAUGACGGAGAGAUGUUUCUAAUUCUUGUUUUUUGCCAUUAAGUGUGACAGUG